Molecule: ribosomal RNA, 497 nt
Filed under: uncultured bacterium
Lineage: Bacteria
Description: partial 16S ribosomal RNA
Rfam family: Bacterial small subunit ribosomal RNA
Source: RNAcentral
GAUGAACGCUGGCGGCGUGCCUAAUACAUGCAAGUCGAGCGAACAGAUCAUGAGCUUGCUCCUCUCACGUUAGCGGCGGACGUGUGAGUAACACGUGGAUAACCUACCUAUAAGACUGGUAUAACUUCGGGAAACCGGAUCUAAUACCAUAUAAUAUAUUGAACCGCAUGGGUCAAUGGAGAAAGACGGUUUUUCUGGCACUUAUAGCUGGUUCCGCGCCGGAUUAGCUAGUUGUUACGGUAACGGGUUAUCAAGGCAACGAUGCGUAGACGACCUGAGAGGGUGAUAGGCCACACUGGAACUGAGCCGGCGUCCAGAGUACUACGGGAGGGAGCAGUAGGGUAUGGUCGGCAAAGGGCGAAAGUAUGACGGAGCAACGGCGCGUGAGUGGUGACGGUCUUGGGAUCGUAAAGAUGUGUUAUGAGGUAAGAACAAAUGUGGAAGGAAAUAUGGCCGUCUUGACGGUAACUAAUCAGAAAGCAACGGCUAACUACGUG